UCAACAUAAUAAUCCUCCUUCGACAUCGAAAGGCAAGAGACUGGGGCGACUCGGGCGAAACCUUGCGCGCCGCCGCCCCCCUCCACUUAGCCCCCGCCCCCCUCGCCGCCGUCGGGCGUCACCGCCGGGCAAAGCCCGUGCGGCAGCCGGCGGCGGCGGGCCUCUCCUUGCUCUGCCGUGUGCGCUGGACGGCCCUGGACGGCUCGGCGUGCUUCGCGGGGCCGCGCGCCGGGGCGGAUCUGGCCUCCUGGCCUCUUCUGCUGCGCGGUGGCGCUGGGCGCUGGGGCGGCGGCCCCAGACUGCGACAGCGUCGUCCUCCCCUCCUCCUCGCAGUGGAGUCGUGGCGGCGUGCCGGUUGGCGGUGGAUGCGGGCUUCGUGCCCGGAUCCGGCGGGGCGCAGGCCGUCGGCGGGAUGCGGCGGCGCUGGCCGUCCUGGGCCCCGCGGGCGGCAGGGCGGACGCGCGUGGUGGUGGGCCGGUGGCUCGGGGCGGCCGUGGGUGGAUCUGGAGCUGCAGCUUCCGGCCUCCCUAGCUUGGCGGAGCUGUUUGGCAGAGCCGGCCCUCUGGGAAGGUGUUGUGGUGUGCCCCGGCCGGCGUGGUGCCGGUUUGGGCUGCUGGGCACCCCGGGUUGUGGCCUCUGCAUGGUGCGGGUGGUCCUGCCGGGGGCUGUGUUCGCGGCGCUACUUCCUCCCAGACCCGGCUUGUGGAGCGUGGUGGGCUGCAAUGGUUUCUGCAGCCGGUGGUGGUUGGCGGUGGCGUGCUGCUUUGCGUGCUUGGUCACGUAGCUUGGGGGAGGACGGUCGGCAUGUUGCCGGAGACGGUUUGCUGGGCAGGCUGUGGUGAGGAUGGACUUGGUGAGCUCCGGGCGAAAGCCUAGCUCGACCUCGGUCGUUGCCGGCGUCGACGGCGUCCUAGGACGUCGUUCCCUCCUUGGAGGCGUCGUCGUGGAGCCCCUUCACCACCAUUGUCGCCUCGGUCUCGGGCUCUCCGGGUGAAAACCCAAGUUUCGACCUUGGUCGGAGCGGGCGUCGGCGGCGUACUUGUCGCUUCCCUCUUGGGGGCGAUGCCUUGGAGGUCUGGUCCUUCGUCAGGUCGCGGUGGCUCGGGUGGCUUUGCGGGUUCAUCGUCGGCCAGGCGUGUGCGCGGCCUCGGGGCCGGUGAGGAAGUCGGAGCGGCGGCUCCGGAGAACAAGGUUGUGGAGUGUCGGAUCUGGUCGCGUGGGCGGCAGCGUCGUCGGCUCAGGUGGAGCGCGGCCUCGGGGCCGGCGGGGAAGUCGGAGCGGCGGCUCCGGAGAGCACCUCUGUGCUGUGGAGUGUCGGUUCUGGUCGCGUGGACGGCAGAGUCGUCGACUCGUGUGGAGUGCGGCCUCGGGGCCGACGUGUGUGAGUUUAAGUGGUUUGUAAGCCGGAGUGGCGGCUCCAGGUCGUGUGGUGGGGUGGCAACUCUGGUCGUGUGGGCGACAGGGAAGUCGGUUCGUUAGGUACGCAGCCCCGGGGCUGGUGUGUGUUGAUGUAUCGGUUUUCGGCUAGUUUUCCUUAUAAACUAGUCAAUUCUCUUCUUAAUGCAAAGGCAGAGCUCCUGCUGUUUCCUCGGAAAAAAAAAGGCAAGAGACUGCCGACUCCAGGUUCGGAAGGUGCUAUCCAAGGAUGCGAAAACUCGGAUUGUUCCUCCGGCCACUACACCGCAGCCCUGGCGUCUAAGCCUGCAGUGGCACCACCAGUCCCUCCUCUCUGUCUCUCCCGCCGUCCUAACAAACUGCCUCUUGUGUUUGUUGAUUUGCGGGCUUAUUGGUUUUGGUUCGGUUUGAAGGACUCUUCAAGCCUAACAUCUUUCUGGAAUAAUUGAGUUGUUGAAUCUGAAGGUGGCGUAAAACUUCAGUCGCCUUCGAUGGAGUGAAGGUUUUUUUUUUGGCAUGUGCACAGAGAGCCUGCUUGGUUGCUUAUGACCAGGCUGCUUUGUAGGCGAUCAAGUCCUUGCAAGAUGGUAAUCGGGUUUUUGCAUUCUAGGAUUACAAUGCCGAGUAAUCAACAACGAUGACGAUGCAGGUUUGUGAGUAAGCAGGUCAUCUGGACAAAUGUUGGAUAACCAACAAUGCAUAUUUUGUCAUGUAUGUUCUGUUUGGCUGCAAACUUAGAAUGACCAAGACAGCCCCAAAUUUCUCAGGUGCGAGUUCAUUACCAUGAAAAGUUGGGUGAAUUGUCAGUACAUCAGGAUUUAGAUGGCUGGCCCAACCAUCUCUCGGACCCAUGCUCCUGGAUACAUGAGUUCUGAUGUUUUACACACACAUCCUACUUGUGUCAUUUUUACGUAAUCUUGUAUAGAAUGCUUCAAAUUAAGUGACAUUGAAUACCAGUACUCUCAGGCGGCAACACAGGGCGGCGCCCCAACUGCUACUAUUUGGAGAGAUGGACUAUGCGCUUAAGUUUCCCUUCUAUACCACGCUCGAACGUCUAGACCGCAAGUGGAACAUCAUACAUUCUGAUGCUAGAGGUUCUCACAUCCGGAAGACACAAUACUUGCCAUAUGGUAUCAACCAAGAACUUUUUGCUUUGGCUGAUGAAGAUUUCACAUUCUCUCAAUCUAUCCACUAGGAUGAACUUCUGCAUCUUGAUAGGUGGGUGAAAGAAAACAAGUUGAACCAGCUACAAUUUGCACAGAAAAUGACAUAUUGUUAUCUAUCUGCUGCUGCUACAAUUCCCCCCUGAACUUUCUGAUGCUUGCAUAUCUUGGGCCAAAAACGGUGUGCUCAGAACCAUUGUUGAUGAAUUCUUCGAUGUUGGAGGAUCAAAAUAACUAGAAAACCUUCUAGCAUUGGUUGAGAAGUACAGUCCUUCAACUUGACGUCUUCUAUCUGCUCUUUUACAAAGUAGUGUGUCUUAGACAUUGCUAAUGAGUCAUGUUUCUGGUUUUGCCAAUGGUAGAUUGCUAACAUAGAGCACCCCUUAAAAAACUACUAAUAUUUGCAUGUGCAACAUAGUCAUGAAAAAUUAGUCUGUCUGUACGAAGUGCAAAUUGCAGACAUACAUAUGUCCGAAUAAAUUAAGUGCAUGUUUUGUUUUGUAUAUAUGGUGAACUGGUGGUGUAUGUAAACAUAAACCAUGUAUCAUAUGGACCAAAUUUGCCUCC
Molecule: long non-coding RNA, 3125 nt
Organism: Aegilops tauschii subsp. strangulata
Lineage: Eukaryota; Viridiplantae; Streptophyta; Magnoliopsida; Poales; Poaceae
Source: RefSeq, a predicted model, not a curated record